Molecule: ribosomal RNA, 663 nt
Filed under: uncultured bacterium
Lineage: Bacteria
Description: bacterial SSU rRNA
Rfam family: Bacterial small subunit ribosomal RNA
Source: RNAcentral
GUAGUCCACGCCGUAAACGAUGGAUACUAGCUGUUGGGGGUAUCGACCCCCCCAGUAGCGAAGCUAACGCGUUAAGUAUCCCGCCUGUGGAGUACGGUCGCAAGACUAAAACAUAAAGGAAUUGACGGGGACCCGCACAAGCGGUGGAUCGUGUUCUUUAAUUCGAUGAUAAACGAAGAACCUUACCAGGGUUUGACAUCCUUGGAAUUACUCCGAAAGGAGUGAGUGCUUUAUUGAGCCAAGUGACAGAUGUUGCAUGGCCGCCGUCAGCUCGUGUCGUGAGAUGUUUGGUUAAGUCCAUCAACGAGCGCAACCCUUGUGAAUAGUUGUAUUUUUCUAUUCAGACUGCCCCGGUAACGGGGAGGAAGGAGGGGAUGAUGUCAGGUCAGUAUUACUCUUACAUCCUGGGCUAGAAACACGAUACAAUGGCUAGUACAAUGCGCAGCGAAGCCGCGAGGUGGAGCAAAUCGCAUCAAAGCUAGUCCCAGUUCGGAUAAGAGGCUGAAACUCGCCUCUUUGAAGUCGGAAUCGCUAGUAAUCGCAAAUCAGCAAGUUGCGGUGAAUACGUUCCCGGGUCUUGUACACACCGCCCGUCAAACCAUGAAAGUCACCAACACCCGAAGUCCGAUUCGUCGGCCUAAGGUGGGGGGGAUGAUUGGGGUU